GUGCUCACUUCAGCAGCACAUACACUAAAAUUGAAACAAUACAGAGAUUAGCAUGGCCCCUGCACAAGGAUGACAUGCAAAUUUGUGAAGUGUUCCAUAUUUAA
Molecule: small nuclear RNA, 104 nt
Filed under: Ursus maritimus (polar bear)
Lineage: Eukaryota; Metazoa; Chordata; Mammalia; Carnivora; Ursidae
Source: RNAcentral